Molecule: long non-coding RNA, 389 nt
Filed under: Lathyrus oleraceus (garden pea)
Lineage: Eukaryota; Viridiplantae; Streptophyta; Magnoliopsida; Fabales; Fabaceae
Description: Pisum sativum (pea) long non-coding RNA (PSAT_LNC019235)
Source: RNAcentral
CAGCGGUUCACUGAUUUGCUUAGCAGGUUCGACAACUUAGACGUACAUCAAAGAUCACCAGGUCCAAGAACAAGAGGCGGCAGGCAACCUUAACUUUAGUUUUUUUUCCUUUCUUUUUGUAAUUCAUUUUUUUUCCUUCAAACAUUGAGGACAAUGUUUCAUUCAAGUAUGGGGGGGAAAACCAUGUUCUCUCCAUCCUCCUUUUUCCUUUUCAAGUAUGUAUCUUUCUUUUCAUUGUUAUUUCCCUUAUAAAAAAAAAUAUAAUAAAAUAAUAUUUCUUAUAAUAUAGAUUUAUUUUAAGUUAAGUCCCAAAUGUGAAAACUUUCUAUUAUCUAUUCCCCUCAAUUUUCAUGAGCCAUAACAAAAAUUCAUCACACUCAAUAAGUAUA